AGGAGUGUCUUCUGUUGGGUUACUGGCUCUGGGAAGAUUGUGGCCAGAACCGAGAGCUUGAGCCUAUGAGGCCAUGCUCUGAAAUAAGAGUAAGAGCAAACUUAAUGGGCAUUAGGCUGAGCCCCUGCAAAAAAACCUAGAGGAAGGCAGCUGGGUGCAGGACUUGGAAAAGGAAGCCCAGAAAGCUCAAGGUACCAGGAAAGGCCCUAGAGGCAGAGAAACCUUGUGUAUGGACAGUUAAAUGCUAAGGUGGUGUUUCUCACUGCAGUGGAUCCAAAAGAGAUGGUGUUUUUCAUGGCAGUAGAGCCAAAGGAAGGUGGAGCUGAGAUUAAGGAAAUACUGAGAUUACAGGAGAUAAUGGGUUUUCACCAUGCCAAACUCAAGAUAGGGUUCAGUAAAGUACUGGGAAUUAAGCACUUGAGCUGAGAUUUCAUUGAGUGGCCUAUGUUGAAGAUCUUGGAUGAGGCCCUGUGGGUAUUAGAAACCUGUAGGAAAAGGGGCUGAAGAACUGAAAUGCUGAGUGUUGUUUUAGGAUUUAGGGCCUGAAGAUCCCUGGAAAGAGUGGACACUGUUAAGUUCCUAGCAAACACAGAGGAAAAUCAGAUAAAAAACAUAAAUACCUUUGCUGGCAGGCUGCAGUGUAACACGACUUUAUUUUUUAGGGUUCAGCAUGAGAGCACCCAAAAAACAGACAAAGCAGGCUGCUGUUUAAAGCAGAAAGGUACAACUUACCCCACCUCACUCUAGACUCCCUCUCUCCUAGGCCCUGAUCACAUGCUUUUCUAAAGAGUCACCCAGCCUGCAAGUAGGACUAGGAAACCUCUCUGAAAUUUUACAGUCAGCCUACCAUCUCAGUAUGGUUUUUAGUACACCACAGGAACAAAACGUGGCCUGCCUGAAGGCCCAAGUCGUGAGAAGAGGCAGACUACCACAAGAGCAGAGUGACUGGUGCCAGGUGCUGCUAGUGAAGGACAAUCUACUACGCUGGGGCAGUGCCUCUGGCACUGCAUUGACUGCUGAUUAAAUUCAAGAUUUCAGUUCUCAUCUUUGAAGACCCAUGUUACCAGAGGGAUUGUCUCACCCAUGUUAUCAUGGCCUCCCAUGACAGCAAUACUCCAGGGAGACAACAGGGCUGCCAACCUCAGAGUGAAACCCUGGGGGCAGGAGGUGGAGCUUUCUCAGUCCCUCGCCCACAAGCCUGAGACUCUCUCUCCCAGGCCCAUUCAACCUAAAUGAUAGCAUCUGCUGGGACUGGGGAAGCAGACAUGCAGAAUCCUCGCAAAUGGAAAUGCCAGGGAUGGAUCAGAUACCAGAUGCACAGGUGAUUCAGUCCCAACUCUUCUGCAGAUGAGAAGUUAGCCUGGUUGCUGAGCUGGCUGGUGGAAGGACAUCAUGGGGAGAGGCCAAGAUUUCCAAAAGCGAGAGUGGAAGUGGAAACAGUUGCAGGGUUAGGGGCUUUCAGGGUAUUUUUGUUCAACCUGGCCUUCAGAU
Long non-coding RNA from Mauremys mutica (yellowpond turtle), 1491 nucleotides. RefSeq lists it as uncharacterized. Lineage: Eukaryota; Metazoa; Chordata; Testudines; Geoemydidae. The transcript is spliced from 4 exons. The record is from RefSeq and is a predicted model, not a curated record.